Molecule: small RNA, 523 nt
Filed under: Pongo abelii (Sumatran orangutan)
Lineage: Eukaryota; Metazoa; Chordata; Mammalia; Primates; Hominidae
Description: processed transcript
Source: RNAcentral
CUCGCUCAUGAAAGAGAAGGGGAGUUCAUUCCUCUGAGCUCCGCUCUCCCAGGCAGUGCCAUUAGUUAAUGACCCUGGUGGCCUCUUCCCAGCUGUUAAUUAACAUGCCCUGGUGGUUCCCAGGACACCCCAGCUAUGGUCCUGUGUGUUUCUUUUUGCAGGACGCCCUGGAGAGGACGAUGGGGCGGGCACACAUGGCAAAAGUGAUUGAGUUUCUGAAGCUGCAAGUCCAGGAGGAGACCAGGUGCCGGCUGGCUGCCAUCUCCCGCGGCCUGGAGCUGCUGGCUGGUGAGGGGAAGCUGUCCGGGCGGCAGAAGGAGGAGCUGCUCACGCAGCAGCACAAGGCCUUCUGGCAGGAGGCAGAACGCUUCAGCCGGGAGUUUGUCCAGCGAGGCAAAGACCUGGUCAAGGCAUCUCUGGCUCACCAGGUGGAGGGGACGGCAAAACUCACGCUGGCCCAAGAGGAGGAACGGAGAAGCUUCCUGGCUGAGGCCCAGCCGACUGCUGACCCGGAAAAGUUUCU